UGGGGAAUAUUGGACAAUGGGGGGAACCCUGAUCCAGCCAUGCCGCGUGUGUGACGAAGGCCUUAUGGUUGUAAAGCACUUUAAGCGAGGAGGAGGGUACUGGUAUUAAUACUACCAGGUACUGGACGUUACUCGCAGAAUCAGCACCGGCUAACUCUGUGCCAGCAGCCGCGGUAAUACAUAGGGUGCGAGCGUUAAUCGGAUUUACUGGGCGUAAAGCGUUCGUAGGCGGCUAAUUGAGUCGGAUGUGAAAUCCCCGAGCUUAACUUGGGAAUUGCAUUAGAUACUGGUUAGAUAGAGUGUGGGAGAGGAUGGUAGAAUUACAGGUGUAGCGGUGAAAUGCGUAGAGAUCUGGAGGAAUACCGAUGGCGAAGGCAGCCAUCUGGCCUAACACUGACGAUGAGGUACGAAAGCAUGGGGAGCAAACAGG
This 430-nucleotide ribosomal RNA is filed under the name Pseudomonadota bacterium. RNAcentral's name for it is "Proteobacteria bacterium partial 16S ribosomal RNA". It matches the Rfam family "Bacterial small subunit ribosomal RNA", at positions 355 to 776 of the family's 1533-position model. The record is from RNAcentral. Lineage: Bacteria; Pseudomonadati; Pseudomonadota.